GAGCAGGAAUGUGUUCAGGAAGUCCAC
Molecule: small RNA, 27 nt
Filed under: Bombyx mori (domestic silkworm)
Lineage: Eukaryota; Metazoa; Arthropoda; Insecta; Lepidoptera; Bombycidae
Description: ovarian small RNA-5131
Source: RNAcentral